CAAAAAAAAAGCAUGUUCUAUCCUUCUAGUUUAACACAAUCCUUCUAUAUUUAUAUUAAAUUUAACUGUUUAAAGGUUCGUCGGUAGCCCUUGCAAUUGUUUUGAGGCGCUAUACCAAAUGGGUCAAAACAGAAGCACUCCUUGUGAGAGCUCCUGAAAUGGUGCUUUCGAAUUCAUAGCGUGCUUUUGUCAGGCAAAACCUAAAAAAAAUGAGCUUUUCACCAGCUCCCUGCUUGCUCACUGAGUCAAGAUCCUAUUUUUCCCUCCUACAUUGAGCUCAUAGGCAGGUUGUGGCAAGGUGAUGACACGUGGUUAGAGUAGCGGGGAGGUGGGGCUAAGUCGCCGGCACGGACCUCAGGGACCUGAAUCGUGGCAUGAAUGGAUCAGAGUAGCUAGAGUUGUUAGGUUAUGCGGGCACUUUGCCGGGAAUCGUCAGGACUAGCACGGAAGAACCAAAGCGGAGAUGGCGGCCAUGCAGGUGAGGUGUGGAGUUGGGAGUCGUCGGGAUGAAGUAGUGGAAGUGAGACGUAUAUGAGGGGCAAAGUUGUGGGCGGUUGUGAGAUAAGCAGGGAGGAUGAGCAGAGAUGUUGGUUUUCAGAUGAAGAUGAGCAAGAAACGAACGGUGGGCUGA
Molecule: long non-coding RNA, 631 nt
Filed under: Sorghum bicolor (sorghum)
Lineage: Eukaryota; Viridiplantae; Streptophyta; Magnoliopsida; Poales; Poaceae
Description: long non-coding RNA (SBIC_LNC015235)
Source: RNAcentral